GUGAGGAAUAUUGGUCAAUGGGCGAGAGCCUGAACCAGCCAAGUCGCGUGAAGGAAGAAGGAUCUAUGGUUCGUAAACUUCUUUUGCAGGGGAAUAAAGUGCAGGACGUGUCCUGUUUUGUAUGUACCCUGAGAAUAAGGAUCGGCUAACUCCGUGCCAGCAGCCGCGGUAAUACGGAGGAUCCGAGCGUUAUCCGGAUGUAUUGGGUUUAAAGGGUGCGUAGGUGGUUUGAUAAGUCAGCGGUGAAAGUUUGCAGCUUAACUGUAAAAAUGCCGUUGAAACUGUCGGACUUGAGUGUAAAUGAGGUAGGCGGAAUGCGUGGUGUAGCGGUGAAAUGCAUAGAUAUCACGCAGAACUCCGAUUGCGAAGGCAGCUUACUAAGCUACAACUGACACUGAAGCACGAAAGCGUGGGGAUCAAACAGGAUUAGAUACCCCGGUAGUCC
This 445-nucleotide ribosomal RNA is filed under the name uncultured bacterium. RNAcentral's name for it is "partial 16S ribosomal RNA". It matches the Rfam family "Bacterial small subunit ribosomal RNA", at positions 354 to 796 of the family's 1533-position model. The record is from RNAcentral.